This 73-nucleotide transfer RNA is filed under the name Apaloderma vittatum (bar-tailed trogon). It matches the Rfam family "tRNA". From Rfam's summary of the family: Transfer RNA (tRNA) molecules are approximately 80 nucleotides in length. Their secondary structure includes four short double-helical elements and three loops (D, anti-codon, and T loops). Lineage: Eukaryota; Metazoa; Chordata; Aves; Trogoniformes; Trogonidae. The record is from Rfam by way of RNAcentral.
UGCCAGUUAGCUCAGUCGGUUAGAGUGUGGUGCUGAUAAGGCCAAGGUUGCGGGUUCAAUCCCUGUUUGGUAC